CCUACGGGAGGCAGCAGUGGGGAAUAUUGCACAAUGGGGGAAACCCUGAUGCAGCGACGCCGCGUGAGUGAAGAAGUCCUUCGGGGUGUAAAGCUCUGUCAGCAGGGAAGAAAAUGACGGUACCUGACUAAGAAGCCCCGGCUAACUACGUGCCAGCAGCGGCGGUAAUACGUAGGGGGCAAGCGUUAUCCGGAUUUACUGGGUGUAAAGGGGGCGUAGACGGCGACGCAAGUCGGGAGUGAAAGGCCGGGGCUCAACCCUGGAACUGCUUUUGAAACUGUGUAGCUGGAGUGCAGGAGAGGUAAGCGGAAUUCCUAGUGUAGCGGUGAAAUGCGUAGAUAUCAGGAGGAACACCAGUGGCGAAGGCGGCCUACUGGACUGCAACUGACGUUGAGGCCCGAAGGCGUGGGGAGCAAACAGGAUUAGAUACCCUUGUAGUC
Molecule: ribosomal RNA, 440 nt
Filed under: uncultured bacterium
Lineage: Bacteria
Description: partial 16S ribosomal RNA
Rfam family: Bacterial small subunit ribosomal RNA
Source: RNAcentral